AGCGAACGCUGGCGGCAGGCUUAACACAUGCAAGUCGAGCGCCUGUAGCAAUACAGGAGCGGCAGACGGGAGAGUAACACGUGGGAAUAUGCCCUUCGGUUCGGAAUAACUCAGGGAAACUUGAGCUAAUACCGGAUACGCCCUUACGGGGAAAGAUUUAUUGCCGAAGGAUUAGCCCGCGUCCGAUUAGCUAGUUGGUGAGGUAACGGCUCACCAAGGCGACGAUCGGUAGCUGGUCUGAGAGGAUGAUCAGCCUCAUUGGGACUGAGACACGGCCCAAACUCCUACGGGAGGCAGCAGUGGGGAAUAUUGGACAAUGGGCGCAAGCCUGAUCCAGCCAUGCCGCGUGGGUGAUGAAGGCCCUAGGGUUGUAAAGCCCUUUCGGCGGGGAAGAUAAUGACGGUACCCGCAGAAGAAGCCCCGGCUAACUUCGUGCCAGCAGCCGCGGUAA
Molecule: ribosomal RNA, 451 nt
Filed under: uncultured bacterium
Lineage: Bacteria
Description: partial 16S ribosomal RNA
Rfam family: Bacterial small subunit ribosomal RNA
Source: RNAcentral